Molecule: ribosomal RNA, 120 nt
Filed under: Scophthalmus maximus (turbot)
Lineage: Eukaryota; Metazoa; Chordata; Actinopteri; Pleuronectiformes; Scophthalmidae
Source: RNAcentral
GCUUACGGCCACACCGCCUUUGGUUCACGCCCGAUCUCGUUUGAUCCGGAAGCUAAGAUAGGUUGGGCCUGGUUAGUACUUGGAUGGGAGACCGCCUGGGAAUACCAGGUGCUGUAAGCU